GGGGGUACCAGAGCCAGGUCUAAUGGGCAGAAGGCAACCCUGUGGCGAAGGCCUUCGUGGGUUCGAAUCCCACCCCCCGCACCA
Molecule: transfer RNA, 84 nt
Filed under: archaeon 13_1_20CM_2_54_9
Lineage: Archaea
Description: tRNA-Cys
Rfam family: tRNA
About the family: Transfer RNA (tRNA) molecules are approximately 80 nucleotides in length.
Source: RNAcentral